GACAAUACUAAUUCUGAUACAAGCCAGGAUGCCACUGGCCUUCUUGGUCACCUGGGCACACUGCUGGUUCAUAAUCAGCCAGCUGUCAACUAACACCCCCAGACCCUCCUCCUCCGCACAGCUUUCUAGCCACUCUGCCCCAAGCCUGUAGCGAUGCCUGGGGUUGUUGGGACCAAAAUGCAAGACCCAUCACUGGGACUUGUUGAACUUCAUCCAAUUGGUCUCAGUCCACAGAUCCAACCUGUCCAGUUUCCUCUGAAGGGUCUUCCUAACCCCAGACAGAUCACUGCUUCCCCCCAACUUGGCAAACUCACUGAAAUCACACUCAGUCUCCUUGUCCAGAUCACCAAUAAACAUAUAAUUGGACCAGCCCCAAUAUCAACCCUAGGGGAACAUCAUCUGUGACUGAUCACCAUCUGCAUUUAAGACCAUUCACCACCACUCUCUGGGCUCAGCCUUCCAGCCAGUUCUUUACUCUGCAGAAAGAGAGAUCUGCCCUGCCCUACCUCACUGAUCUGGGAGCUGCUAUUUAUGGCUGUCAGUGGCUUUCCUUGAAAUGGCCUCACUCUCCUCCACAGGGUUGACUGGAGCUCACCAGCCCCCUCAGGACCCACAGAUAUCCAACACUGCAUGAAUGCCCCUCGAGAUGAUCUGGCACCUACGUUCAGCACAUGGUUGGAAAGACUCUGUGAAGUGUAAAAAUUUAUUUUUCAGCUUUUAAUGUAAACUACAGAAUUUAACGGUAAGAGCCCAGCUACACCGCCAUGGUCCUUCCUGGAAAAGACUGAGGGAAAUGUGCUCAGAGACUGACUCAUCAUAAACUAAAUAGCAGAUCUGAGAGACAAUGAUGGGGUCAAACCUUUGGCUGAAGCAACACGAAUGGACACAGAUGCUGAGGAUCAGCUUCCUGUUAUGGAGCUCAGAAUCUCACAGCACACAGCCUAGCAUGAAGUUAUGUUCACAUGAGAACCUAUUUUUAUGCUGUAAAGAAAAACUGUUUCAAGAAACUUAGGUUCUUGGAAAUGUAGUACAUAAGCACUGUACAUGUUUAGGAGAUUGAGCACAUUGCUUUCCAGCCCAGUGCAAGAGCACAGCACCCUAAGUAUGGGAAACCCUAAGGAAAUGACCAAGUCAAGUACAUUUUUUGGCCUAGGAUUAGAAAAAUACAGUAGUUUAACUGAGAAAGAAGUUUACAGUACUCUGCUCCUGGGGGCUGAUAUUAUGUAGAACAUCUGGAUUCAUGUUCACACAAUAUUCAAAGGAGACAGAAGAAAGAGCUGCAGGGAGAAAAUACAGGAGGGCAUGACAAAGCCAAUGAGGAUGGCAAGCUAUAUUUAGCAGACAUGAAAGAAACCUCUUGUCUUUCUUGUGGACUCUAGAUACUCACAAAACAUGUGCUAAGGACAGGCAUCCUUGUCGCUGGGGAGGGAGGAGCACAUGAUAAAAGCCAGAGGUUUCCAGUGUUAGAAAAUCAAAGGACUAUUUCUCUUCACUCCAAUUGCUCCUGGCCCUGUUGUUAUGGCAUUAUUUUAUAGUUACAAUAGCACAGCCUUCUGUUGAGGAGAAUGCAGCAGAAAUCAUAAAAUAAGGCUACCUGGCAACACGGACUGAAAUUGAACAAAACAGGUUAGGAGGGAGCAAGGUCUACUUUGACUAAGCACCCACUGCUCAAGACAGAGACAAGCACAAUAGGGCUCUGGUCCUCUGCAAGUGCUCUGCCCUGACCUGAUUCACCAGUACCCCGAUUUGCCAUUUCCUCUGCUUGCAUUUUAUUUUGCAAGAUCAAUCCUUGUCUCAUAUUGCUUGUCUUGAACCGGAAGAGGCUCAGGAAAGGAUCAAACCACUCAGAUUCAUACUGGUGCAGGCAACAUAUUCCCACCCACAAACGGGUCCCACCUUCGUGUGCAUAGAGCAGGCUGCUGUAUGCAAGAGAAACACCAUGGCUUAUUUUCAUAAGCUGUAAAAAGCAGUUUUCACUUCCCUAAUAAGAUAUAUUCUUCCUCACAGCUAGUGUUGCAUAAAGGAAACUAAACAAAAUAUAGCCAAGAGUCUGUGCGCAUCUUUAUCUACUAAGUGUGAUUAUUCUAUAAUCAUAUGAGUAUACUAUCAAUCAGUGCUAUUAAAAGCCCAUCUAAGAAAUUCAUUUAGAAUUAAAACUCAAAAUGGAUGUUAAGCACACCUAACAAAAAAAAGAACAAAUCUCUGAAUGCCUGUCUCUCUGGAAUUGGUAAUGAAAGUGCAGUAACAAAACCCACAUAAGUUACACACUCCUCCAAUGCAAUGCACAAAUAUCCACAAUGAAAAAUACUCUAAAAAUAAAACGAAAGAAAAGGCACUGGGGCGUAGGAAGUGCUUCCUCUCCAACGACGCUUCUGUUAGCAUUUACACAAGAAUAUUUUCCGGGGAGCCUGACGUGGAAACAGGUUGCUUUUACGCUAAGCAUACUGAGAAAAAAUAAAUUCAGCAUUUUUACA
Lagopus leucura (white-tailed ptarmigan) is the source of this 2474-nucleotide long non-coding RNA. RefSeq lists it as uncharacterized. Lineage: Eukaryota; Metazoa; Chordata; Aves; Galliformes; Phasianidae. The transcript is spliced from 2 exons. The record is from RefSeq and is a predicted model, not a curated record.